Molecule: non-coding RNA, 105 nt
Filed under: Rosenbergiella nectarea
Lineage: Bacteria; Pseudomonadati; Pseudomonadota; Gammaproteobacteria; Enterobacterales; Erwiniaceae
Source: RNAcentral
CAGUUUUGGUGACUUCGCUCCCUAUAAGCAAGUUACCUCGAAGUAAAGAGUUGGUAGCUCUGAACUUCGGCAACCAAACCACCGUUGGUAGCGGUAGUUUUUUGU